Molecule: ribosomal RNA, 460 nt
Filed under: uncultured bacterium
Lineage: Bacteria
Description: partial 16S ribosomal RNA
Rfam family: Bacterial small subunit ribosomal RNA
Source: RNAcentral
CCUACGGGGGGCAGCAGUGAGGAAUAUUGGUCAAUGGACGAGAGUCUGAACCAGCCAAGUAGCGUGAAGGAUGACUGCCCUAUGGGUUGUAAACUUCUUUUAUAUGGGAAUAAAAUGUUCCAUGUGUGGGCUUUUGUAUGUACCAUAUGAAUAAGGAUCGGCUAACUCCGUGCCAGCAGCCGCGGUAAUACGGAGGUUCCGAGCGUUAUCCGGAUUUAUUGGGGUUAAAGGGAGCGUAGGUGGGUUGUUAAGUCAGUUGUGAAAGUUUGCGGCUCAACCGUAAAAUUGCAGUUGAAACUGGCAGUCUUGAGUGCAGUAGAGGUGAGCGGAAUUCGUGGUGUAGCGGUGAAAUGCUUAGAUAUCACGAGGAACUCCGAUUGCGAAGGCAGCUCACUGGACUGCAACUGACACUGAGGCUCGAAAGUGUGGGUAUCAAACAGGAUUAGAUACCCGAGUAGUC